This 422-nucleotide ribosomal RNA is filed under the name uncultured bacterium. Its description in RNAcentral is "partial 16S ribosomal RNA". It matches the Rfam family "Bacterial small subunit ribosomal RNA", at positions 360 to 774 of the family's 1533-position model. The record is from RNAcentral.
AAUAUUGGACACUGGGGGCAACCCUGAUCCAGCCAUGCCGCGUGUGUGAAGAAGGUCUUCGUAUUGUAAAGCACUUUAAGUUGGGAGGAAGGGCUUUAGGUUAAUACCCUGAAGUUUUGACGUUACCAACAGAAUAAGCACCGUCUAACUCUGUGCCAGCAGCCGCGGUAACACCGAGGGUGCAAGGGUUAAUCGGAGUUACUGGGCGUAAAGCGCGCGUAGGUGGUUCAGUAAGAUGGGUGUGAAAUCCCCGGGCUUAACCUGGGAACUGCUUUCAUAACGGCUGGGCUAGAGUACGGUAGAGGGUAGUGGAAUUUCCUGUGUGACGGUGAAAUGCGUAGAUAUAGGAAGGAACACCAGUGGCGAAGGCGACUACCUGGACUGAUACUGACACUGAGGUGCGAAAGCGUGGGGAGCAAACA